Molecule: ribosomal RNA, 253 nt
Filed under: uncultured bacterium
Lineage: Bacteria
Description: partial 16S ribosomal RNA
Rfam family: Bacterial small subunit ribosomal RNA
Source: RNAcentral
UACGUAGGGUGCGAGCGUUAAUCGGAAUUACUGGGCGUAAAGCGCGUGUAGGCGGCAAUACAAGUCGGAUGUGAAAUCCCGCGGCUUAACCGUGGAAGUGCACCCGAAACUGUAUCGCUAGAGUCCCGGAGAGGAUGGUGGAAUACUUGGUGUAGAGGUGAAAUUCGUAGAUAUCAAGUGGAACACCGGUGGCGAAGGCGGCCAUCUGGACGGUGACUGACGCUGAGACGCGAAAGCGUGGGUAGCAAACAGG